AUUGAACGCUGGCGGCAUGCCUUACACAUGCAAGUCGAACGGCAGCACGGGUGCUUGCACCUGGUGGCGAGUGGCGAACGGGUGAGUAAUACAUCGGAACGUACCUUAUCGUGGGGGAUAACGCAGCGAAAGUUGCGCUAAUACCGCAUACGCCCUGAGGGGGAAAGCGGGGGACCGUAAGGCCUCGCGCGAUUAGAGCGGCCGAUGUCUGAUUAGCUUGUUGGUGAGGUAAAAGCUCACCAAGGCGAUGAUCAGUAGCUGGUCUGCGAGGACGACCAGCCACACUGGAACUGAGACACGGUCCAGACUCCUACGGGAGGCAGCAGUGGGGAAUUUUGGACAAUGGGCGAAAGCCUGAUCCAGCCAUUCCGCGUGAGUGAAGAAGGCCUUCGGGUUGUAAAGCUCUUUCGCAAGGGAAGAAAACUUAAGCUCUAACAUAGCUUGAGGUUGACGGUACCUUGAUAAGAAGCACCGGCUAACUACGUGCCAGCCGCCGCGGUAA
Molecule: ribosomal RNA, 502 nt
Filed under: uncultured bacterium
Lineage: Bacteria
Description: partial 16S ribosomal RNA
Rfam family: Bacterial small subunit ribosomal RNA
Source: RNAcentral